This 502-nucleotide ribosomal RNA is filed under the name uncultured bacterium. RNAcentral describes it as "bacterial SSU rRNA". It matches the Rfam family "Bacterial small subunit ribosomal RNA", at positions 28 to 517 of the family's 1533-position model. The record is from RNAcentral.
GAUGAACGCUAGCUACAGGCUUAACACAUGCAAGUCGAGGGGAAACGAUAUUGGAAGCUUGCUUCUGAUAGGCGUCGACCGGCGUACGGGUGAGUAACGCGUAUCCAACCUGCCCAUCACUUGGGGAUAACCUUGCGAAAGUAAGACUAAUACCCAAUGACGUCUCUAGAAGACAUCUGAAAGAGAUUAAAGAUUUAUCGGUGAUGGAUGGGGAUGCGUCUGAUUAGCUUGUUGGCGGGGUAACGGCCCACCAAGGCGACGAUCAGUAGGGGUUCUGAGAGGAAGGUCCCCCACAUUGGAACUGAGACACGGUCCAAACUCCUACGGGAGGCAGCAGUGAGGAAUAUUGGUCAAUGGACGAGAGUCUGAACCAGCCAAGUAGCGUGCAGGAUGACGGCCCUAUGGGUUGUAAACUGCUUUUAUAAGGGAAUAAAGUGGGAGUCGUGACUCUUUUUGCAUGUACCUUAUGAAUAAGGACCGGCUAAUUCCGUGCCAGCAGCCG